RNAcentral lists this ribosomal RNA (459 nucleotides) under uncultured bacterium. Its description in RNAcentral is "partial 16S ribosomal RNA". It matches the Rfam family "Bacterial small subunit ribosomal RNA", at positions 338 to 795 of the family's 1533-position model. The record is from RNAcentral.
CCUACGGGAGGCAGCAGUGAGGAAUAUUGGUCAAUGGGAGAGAUCCUGAACCAGCCAAGCCGCGUGAGGGAAGACGGCCCUAUGGGUUGUAAACCUCUUUUGUCGGAGAACAAAACCCGGGACGAGUCCCGGACUGCGUGUAUCCGAAGAAAAAGCCUCGGCUAACUCCGUGCCAGCAGCCGCGGUAAUACGGAGGAUGCGAGCGUUAUCAGGAUUUAGUGGGUUUAAAGGGUGCGUAGGGGGUCUGUUAAGUCAGCGGUAAAAUUGCGGGGCUCAACCCCGUCCAGCCGUUGAAACUGGCAGACUUGAGUGGGCGAGAAGUACGCGGAAUGCGCGGUGUAGCGGUGAAAUGCAUAGAUAUCACGAAGAACUCCGAUUGCGAAGGCAGCUCACUGGACUGCAACUGACACUGAGGCUCGAAAGUGUGGGUAUCAAACAGGAUUAGAUACCCUUGUAGUC